UACGGAAGGCAGCAGUGGGGAAUAUUGCACAAUGGGCGCAAGCCUGAUGCAGCCAUGCCGCGUGUAUGAAGAAGGCCUUCGGGUUGUAAAGUACUUUCAGUCGUGAGGAAGGUGUUAAGGUUAAUAACCUUAGCAAUUGACGUUAGCGACAGAAGAAGCACCGGCUAACUCCGUGCCAGCAGCCGCGGUAAUACGGAGGGUGCGAGCGUUAAUCGGAAUUACUGGGCGUAAAGGGCACGCAGGCGGUUAAUUAAGUUGGAUGUGAAAUCCCCGGGCUUAACCUGGGAAUGGCAUUCAAGACUGGUUAGCUAGAGUCUUGUAGAGGGGGUAGAAUUCCAUGUGUAGCGGUGAAAUGCGUAGAGAUGUGGAGGAAUACCGGUGGCGAAGGCGGCCCCUGGACAAAGGCUGACGCUCAUGUGCGAAAGCGUGGGGAGCAAACAGGGAUUAGAUA
RNAcentral lists this ribosomal RNA (451 nucleotides) under uncultured bacterium. Its description in RNAcentral is "bacterial SSU rRNA". It matches the Rfam family "Bacterial small subunit ribosomal RNA", at positions 340 to 784 of the family's 1533-position model. The record is from RNAcentral.